AUGGGGGUUCGGAUCUGGGCAGUGGCGUCACUCGGAGAUCGCUGGACGGAGAAAAUCGACAGCGGCGGCGCCAUGAUCGACGGCAGAAGCUGUUGCGUGAGAGAGGAAUUAGACAGAGACGGGAGAGUCAGGGAGGAAGAGAAGGGAGAAGGGCAUGGCGGCGCAAGGCUGGCCUGGGCUCGGGUGGCGCGGGAUCGCCGGCAGGAGGACUUGGCUGGACGGAGGCGGGGUAGUGGAGCCGCUGGUGAUGGCUCGGGAGGAACGGACGAGCUCAGGGACGAGCUCCUGUGCGUGGACGCGGCAGCGGCGGCGGCUCGGGCGGUUUGGCGAUUUGAGGUCGUUUCCGAGCCGUUCGAUCUCCGGUCAAGCGGUAAUGCAGCGGCCGCGUGCAAGUGUGGAUGGUCUGAGAGCGUUCAACGACGGCAACAGGGAGAACCGGCAACUAUGAAUGGAUCUGAUUUUUUGAAAAAUGACGGCAACAGAGUGUUCAUGCAAUGCGAAUGA
RNAcentral lists this ribosomal RNA (504 nucleotides) under Triticum aestivum (bread wheat). Its description in RNAcentral is "partial small subunit ribosomal RNA". The record is from RNAcentral. Lineage: Eukaryota; Viridiplantae; Streptophyta; Magnoliopsida; Poales; Poaceae.